RNAcentral lists this ribosomal RNA (552 nucleotides) under Amantis biroi. RNAcentral's name for it is "partial 16S ribosomal RNA". It matches the Rfam family "Bacterial large subunit ribosomal RNA", at positions 1797 to 2622 of the family's 2925-position model. Lineage: Eukaryota; Metazoa; Arthropoda; Insecta; Mantodea; Gonypetidae. The record is from RNAcentral.
CGCCUGUUUAUCAAAAACAUGGUUUCUUGUGAUAAUUAAGAAAUUUAACCUGCCCACUGAAUUUAUUUGAAGGGCCGCAGUAUUUUGACUGUGCGAAGGUAGCAUAAUCAUUAGUCUUUUAAUUGAAGGCUGGAAUGAAUGGUUGGACGAGGUAAAAUCUUUCUUAUAUUAAUUAAUUUGAAUUUAGAUUUUAAGUAAAAAUACUUAAAUAUUAUUAAGGGACGAGAAGACCCUAUAGAGUUUAAUAAUUUAAGUUUUAAUUAAGUUAAAUUAGAAUUUUUGGUUAUUAUUAUAUUUAUUUAAUUGGGGUGAUUAGAAGAUAAUAAAAACUCUUCUUUAAUUUAAAUAAUUUAUUUAAUUUAUUGAUCCAUUUAUUAUGAUUAUAAGAUUAAAUUACCUUAGGGAUAACAGCAUAAUUUUUUUUAAGAGUUCUUAUCGAAAAAGAAGAUUGUGACCUCGAUGUUGGAUUAAGAUAAAUAUUGGGUGUAGAUGUUCAAAUAUUAGGUCUGUUCGACCUUUAAAUUCUUACAUGAUCUGAGUUCAAACCGGAGA